This 528-nucleotide ribosomal RNA is filed under the name uncultured bacterium. Its description in RNAcentral is "partial 16S ribosomal RNA". It matches the Rfam family "Bacterial small subunit ribosomal RNA", at positions 355 to 874 of the family's 1533-position model. The record is from RNAcentral.
UGGGGAAUUUUGGACAAUGGGCGAAAGCCUGAUCCAGCAAUGCCGCGUGUGUGAAGAAGGCCUUCGGGUUGUAAAGCACUUUUGUCCGGAAAGAAAACGUCGUGGUUAAUACCCGUGGCGGCUGACGGUACCGGAAGAAUAAGCACCGGCUAACUACGUGCCAGCAGCCGCGGUAAUACGUAGGGUGCAAGCGUUAAUCGGAAUUACUGGGCGUAAAGCGUGCGCAGGCGGUCCGCUAAGACAGAUGUGAAAUCCCCGGGCUUAACCUGGGAACUGCAUUUGUGACUGGCGGGCUAGAGUAUGGCAGAGGGGGGUAGAAUUCCACGUGUAGCAGUGAAAUGCGUAGAGAUGUGGAGGAAUACCGAUGGCGAAGGCAGCCCCCUGGGCCAAUACUGACGCUCAUGCACGAAAGCGUGGGGGAGCAAACAGGAUUAGAUGCCCCUGGUAGUCCACGCCCUAAACGAUGUCAACUAGUUGUCGGGUCUUCAUUGACUUGGUAACGUAGCUAACGCGUGAAGUUGACCGCCU